GACGAACGCUGGCGGCGUGCUUAACACAUGCAAGUCGAACGGCAAGGCCCUUCGGGGUACACGAGUGGCGAACGGGUGAGUAACACGUGGGUGAUCUGCCCUGCACUUCGGGAUAAGCCUGGGAAACUGGGUCUAAUACCGGAUAGGACCACUGCCUGCAUGGGUGGGGGUGGAAAGCUUUUGCGGUGUGGGAUGGGCGCGCGGCCUAUCAGCUUGUUGGUGGGGGGAUGGCCUACCAAGGCGACGGCGGGUAGGCGGCCUGAGAGGGUGACCGGGCACACUGGGACGACGAUACGGCCCAGACUCCUACGGGAGGGAGCAGUGGGGAAUAUUGCGCAAUGGGGGCAAGCCUGAUGCAUCGACGCCGGGUGAGGGAGGACGGCCUUCGGGUUGUAAGCCUCUUUCAGCACCGACGAAGCGCAAGUGGCGGUAGGGCCAGAAGCAGGACCGGCCAACUACGUGCCAGCCGCCGCAGUAA
RNAcentral lists this ribosomal RNA (478 nucleotides) under uncultured bacterium. Its description in RNAcentral is "partial 16S ribosomal RNA". It matches the Rfam family "Bacterial small subunit ribosomal RNA", at positions 28 to 523 of the family's 1533-position model. The record is from RNAcentral.